RNAcentral lists this ribosomal RNA (844 nucleotides) under Fusarium concolor. RNAcentral's name for it is "partial 28S large subunit ribosomal RNA". It matches the Rfam family "Eukaryotic large subunit ribosomal RNA", at positions 65 to 938 of the family's 3401-position model. Lineage: Eukaryota; Fungi; Ascomycota; Sordariomycetes; Hypocreales; Nectriaceae. The record is from RNAcentral.
CCAACAGGGAUUGCCCCUAGUAACGGCGAGUGAAGCGGCAACAGCUCAAAUUUGAAAUCUGGCUCUCGGGCCCGAGCUUGUAAUUUGUAGAGGAUGCUUUUGAUGCGGUGCCUUCCGAGUUCCCUGGAACGGGACGCCAUAGAGGGUGAGAGCCCCGUCUGGUUGGAUGCCAAAUCUCUGUAAAGCUCCUUCAACGAGUCGAGUAGUUUGGGAAUGCUGCUCUAAAUGGGAGGUAUAUGUCUUCUAAAGCUAAAUACCGGCCAGAGACCGAUAGCGCACAAGUAGAGUGAUCGAAAGAUGAAAAGCACUUUGAAAAGAGAGUUAAAAAGUACGUGAAAUUGUUGAAAGGGAAGCGUUUAUGACCAGACUUGGGCUUGUUUAAUCAUCCGGGCUUCUGCCCGGUGCACUUGUUCAGCCCAGGCCAGCAUCAUUUUUCGCCGGGGGAUAAAGGCGGCGGGAAUGUGGCUCUCUUCGGGGAGUGUUAUAGCCCAUCGUGUAAUACCCUGGCGGGGAAUGAGGUUCGCGCAUCUGCAAGGAUGCUGGCGUAAUGGUCAUCAACGACCCGUCUUGAAACACGGACCAAGGAGUCGUCUUCGUAUGCGAGUGUUCGGGUGUCAAACCCCUACGCGUAAUGAAAGUGAACGCAGGUGAGAGCUUCGGCGCAUCAUCGACCGAUCCUGAUGUUCUCGGAUGGAUUUGAGUAAGAGCAUACGGGGCCGGACCCGAAAGAAGGUGAACUAUGCCUGUAUAGGGUGAAGCCAGAGAAACUCUGGUGGAGGCUCGCAGCGGUUCUGACGUGCAAAUCGAUCGUCAAAUAUGGGCAUGGGGGCGAAAGACUAAUCGA